GAUGAAGAACGUAGUGAAAUGCGAUAAGUAAUGUGAAUUGCAGAAUUCAGUGAAUCAUCGAAUCUUUGAACGCACCUUGCGCCUUUUGGUAUUCCGAAAGGCACACCUGUUUGAGCGUCAUGAAUACCUCAAUCUCCAUCUUUUCUUCGGAUUGAUGGGUGACUUGGAUGUUGAGCCCUGCUGGUAUGCUAUAUCAGCUGGCUUUUAACUUAUUAGCCGGCUCUGUACUGGAUCGGUUUGACUCGACGUGAUAAUAUUAUCGUUGAGGAUGCAUGUCUCAUGCAGCCGGAAAGUAUCAAAGCAGCUUCUAGCUUGCCUUUAGUGCACUUUUACAUUUUAGACCUCAGAUCAGGUGGGACUACCCGCUGAACUUAAGCAUAUCAAUAAGCGGAGGA
This 395-nucleotide unclassified non-coding RNA is filed under the name soil metagenome. RNAcentral's name for it is "partial contains 5.8S ribosomal RNA, internal transcribed spacer 2, and large subunit ribosomal RNA". The stretch from base 1 to 120 matches the Rfam family "5.8S ribosomal RNA", at positions 35 to 154 of the family's 154-position model. The record is from RNAcentral.